UAGGGAAUCUUCGGCAAUGGACGAAAGUCUGACCGAGCACCGCCGCGCGAGUGAAGAAGGUUUUCGGAUCGUAAAACUCUGUUGUUAGAGAAGAACAAGGACGUUAGUAACUGAACGUCCCCUGACGGUAUCUAACCAGAACGCCACGGCUAACUACGUGCCAGCAGCCGCGGUAAUACGUAGGUGGCAAGCGUUGUCCGGAUCUAUUGGGCGUAAAGCGAGCGCAGGCGGUUUCUUAAGUCUGAUGUGAAAGCCCCCGGCUCAACCGGGGAGGGUCAUUGGAAACUGGGAGACUGGAGUGCAGAAGAGGAGAGUGGAAUUCCAUGUGUAGCGGUGAAAUGCGUAGAUAUAUGGAGGAACACCAGUGGCGAAGGCGGCUCUCUGGUCUGUAACUGACGCUGAGGCUCGAAAGCGUGGGGAGCAAACAGG
This 429-nucleotide ribosomal RNA is filed under the name Gemmatimonadota bacterium. RNAcentral describes it as "Gemmatimonadetes bacterium partial 16S ribosomal RNA". It matches the Rfam family "Bacterial small subunit ribosomal RNA", at positions 355 to 776 of the family's 1533-position model. The record is from RNAcentral. Lineage: Bacteria; Pseudomonadati; Gemmatimonadota.